AGCAGCCGCGGUAAUUCCAGCUCCAAUAGCGUAUAUUAAAGUUGUUGCAGUUAAAAAGCUCGUAGUUGAAUUUCGGGGUUCAUACGUUGGUCGGGCUAUUUGGUCUGUACUUAUGUAAUGGAUUCCUACCUUCUGAAUAACCGGCAUGCCAUUAAUUUGGUGCGCCGGGGAAGCAGGACUGUUACCUUGAAAAAAUUAGAGUGCUUAAAGCAGGCUAUCGCCUGAAUACAUUAGCAUGGAAUAAUGAAAUAGGACGGCAUGGUUCUAUUUUGUUGGUUUCUAGGAUCACCGUAAUGAUUAAUAGGGAUAGUUGGGGGCAUUAGUAUUCAAUUGUCAGAGGUGAAAUUCUUGGAUUUAUUGAAGACUAACUUCUGCGAAAGCAUUUGCCAAGGAUGUUUUCAUUAAUCAAGAACGAAAGUUAGGGGAUCGAAGACGAUCAGAUACCGUCGUAGUCUUAACCAUAAACUAUAGCCGACUAGGGAUCGGAUGAUGUUAAUUUUUAAUAGACUCAUUCGGCGCC
RNAcentral lists this ribosomal RNA (520 nucleotides) under uncultured Acaulospora. Its description in RNAcentral is "SSU rRNA". It matches the Rfam family "Eukaryotic small subunit ribosomal RNA", at positions 569 to 1087 of the family's 1831-position model. The record is from RNAcentral. Lineage: Eukaryota; Fungi; Glomeromycota; Glomeromycetes; Diversisporales; Acaulosporaceae.